UACGGGAGGCAGCAAUGGGGAAUAUUGCACAAUGGGCGAAAGCCUGAUGCAGCUAUGCCGCGUGUAUGAAGAAGGCCUUAGGGUUGUAAAGUACUUUCAUCGGGGAGGAAAAACAAAACUAAUAAUUUUAUUUCUUGACGUUACCCGAAAAAGAAGCACCGGCUAACUCCGUGCCAGCAGCCGCGGUAAUACGGAGGGUGCUAGCGUUAAUCAGAAUUACUGGGCGUAAAGAGCACGUAGGUGGUUUUUUUAAGUCAGAUGUGAAAUCCCUGGGCUUAACCUAGGAACUGCAUUUUGAAACUGAAAUACUAGAGUAUCGUAGAGGGAGGUAGAAUUCUAGGUGUAGCGGUGAAAUGCGUAGAUAUCUGGAGGAAUACCUGUGGCGAAAGCGGCCUCCUAAACGAAUACUGACACUGAGGUGCGAAAGCGUGGGGAGCAAACAGGGAUUAGAUACC
This 455-nucleotide ribosomal RNA is filed under the name uncultured bacterium. Its description in RNAcentral is "bacterial SSU rRNA". It matches the Rfam family "Bacterial small subunit ribosomal RNA", at positions 340 to 786 of the family's 1533-position model. The record is from RNAcentral.